This 493-nucleotide ribosomal RNA is filed under the name uncultured bacterium. Its description in RNAcentral is "partial 16S ribosomal RNA". It matches the Rfam family "Bacterial small subunit ribosomal RNA", at positions 30 to 523 of the family's 1533-position model. The record is from RNAcentral.
AUUGAACGCUGGCGGCAUGCUUUACACAUGCAAGUCGAACGGUAACAGGUUAAGCUGACGAGUGGCGAACGGGUGAGUAAUGCAUCGGAACGUGCCCGAUCGUGGGGGAUAACGCAGCGAAAGCUGCGCUAAUACCGCAUACGAUCUGAGGAUGAAAGCGGGGGACCGUAAGGCCUCGCGCGAUCGGAGCGGCCGAUGUCAGAUUAGGUAGUUGGUAGGGUAAAGGCCCACCAAGCCGACGAUCUGUAGCUGGUCUGAGAGGACGACCAGCCACACGGGGACUGAGACACGGCCCAGACUCCGACGGGAGGCAGCAGUGGGGAAUUUUGGACAAUGGGCGAAAGCCUGAUCCAGCCAUUCCGCGUGCAGGAUGAAGGCCCUCGGGUUGUAAACUGCUUUUGUACAGAACGAAAAGGUUUCUACUAAUACUAGGAGCUCAUGACGGUACUGUAAGAAUAAGCACCGGCUAACUACGUGCCAGCCGCCGCUGUAA